AAUUAAAGUAAACAAGUACGAUGAGAGUAAACUUGUCGGAAUAAAGGGGAACCAUCCUCUAAGGCUAAGUAUUAUAAAUUUAGCGAUAGUGAAAUAGUACCGUGAGGGAAAAGUUGAAAAGAGUGUGAGUAAGUACACUAAUGUAGAAAUAGAAAUAAAGAUACAGAAUGUACAUACUCAAAAUAGUAAAUAACGCAGUGAAAUAGACUUGAAUUAGUAACUCUAUAAGCAGUCGAAAUUUAAACAUUAAAUGACGGCGUACCUUUUGCAUAAUGGGUCAGCAAGUUAAUAGGAGUAGCAAGGUUAACAGCCUAAGCGAAAGCGACUACAUCGAAAUCGAAGUGGGUUAAGUUACUUCUAUUAGACCCGAAGCCAGGUGAUCUUUCCAAGACCAGAUUUAAAGGAUCGAACGGAUGAAUGUUGCAUAAUUCUCCGAUGAGUUUUGGAAAGCGGUGAAAUGCCAAUCUGACCUGGUGAUAGCUGGUUUUCUACGAAACAUAUUUAAGUAUGACAUCUACAAUAAAAUUUAUGAAGGUACAGCACGGUAAUUCCCAACAAAUAUUAAAUUAAUUUAAUUUUAUAGGAGUUUAGGUUGCGGGGACCUCGAAAAUCUUACCAAUGGAAGUGAAUCUCGGAAUUACAUAAAUUGGUGGUAGAUAUUCAGACUACUCAUGCUAAGUUGGGUAGUCAAGACGGAAACAGCCGAGAACACAAAUUAAGGUCCCGAAUGAUUAUUAAGUGAAAUAAAGGAUGUGACAUAUUGAAUGCAGCUGAAAAGUGAGCCUGGCAGUCGCUAACUUAUAAUGAACGUGUAAUAACGUAUCAGCCCUUAGAUAGUUGCACCGAAGAUUUAACGGGUCUAAAAUAAUCAACCGAUAUUGUGUUAAUUUUAAAUAUAAAAAAUUAAUUUUAUACUUAAAAUUUAGGUAGUAGAACGUUCAGAUGAUUAAUAGAAAAUUCUAAAAUCCAAACCAACAAUUAACAGUGUUUCAUUGUUUAUAGGAAUCUGAAGUGAGAAUGCUGACAUGAGUAACGUAAAAAGAAAGCUGAAUUUAGAAUUUUAUAUUCUAAAAAUUAAACUUUCUCGCCGAAUACGAAAGGGUUAUUAGCUAAAGAUUAAUUCGACUAAUGUUAAUGCGGUCUCUAAGGUACAAAACCAAUGUUUUGGCUGAUGAGUAAAGCUUUGAAAGCCCUCAAGGAGGAUAUUAAAUUACAAAGAAUGAAGUGUAUUUUACAUGGAAAUAAGUUUUCUUUUGUGUUAAAUUUUAAGCAAAUUUAACAAAUUUAAACUCAAAUGUUCUAUUGAUAAGUGAAUAUUUAUUAAUUAGUAAUUAAUAUUUUUAUAGGGCCAGGAAAAAUAUGUUUUUGAAUAACUUAAUUUUAUAGAUAAGUAGUGUUAAAUUUUUAGACCUUAAAGUGAAUAUUUUAAGAUAAUCUAUCAAAAAAGAAUAUAAUAUUAAUAUUUAAUUUAUUUCAAACUAGUCCUUUGAUAAUAUAAUUUCUUACUUUUUUAUAUUUUGUUUAACCUUAAAAUAAUUUUAUUAUUUUUAUUUGGAUAAGUAAUUUUUAAUAUUUUAUUAUUUUUUAUUUAUUAAUAUUUAUUUUUUUAGAUGGGAACAUUUUAUUAAAGAAUAUUAAUAUAUUUUUAAGCCAACCGUACCCUAAACCGACACAGGUUCGUAGGUAGAGAAUACUAAGGCGUAGAGCUAAAAGUUGUAAAGGAACUCGGCAAAUUAUCCUCGUAAGUUCGUCAAUAAGAGGAACCACUUUCUAAUUUUAAUAACUCCUGUUAAUAUUAGUCUUAAAGUGGUGGCACAAAAUCGGAAGCCACGACUGUUUACUAAAAACACAGCUAUCUGCAAUGAUGUAAAUCAUAGUAUAGGUAGUGAGGUUUGCCCAAUGCCAUCAGCAUAAGAGACGUAAUGGGAAACUGUUAAAUAUCGAAAGCCUGGUUAAUAGCGGUCUUAACCAUGAGGAUCCUAAGGUAGCAAAAUAAAUUGGCCAUUAAAUGUGGUCCGGUAUCAAUAAUUUAACGAUGGCUUCACUGUCUCUACAACUUGCUCAGUGAAAUUGAAUUGUGAGUGCAGAUGCUCACUACUCGCAGGGGGACGGGAAGACCCUAUGCAGCUUCUACUGUAGUUAGUCAUCACAUUAAUUACCUUCAUACUUAAGAAUCCAGAUAAUAGGGAAGUCGAUUAGACACAAUAUGGAAAACCUUAUAUCUUAAGAUGGGUACAUGUUUAUCUUUAUAUCUUAAUAAAUAUUUAUAAAGGGAGAGCUGACUAAUUGGCAGUUUGACUGGGGCGGUCGUCUUUAAUAGAGUAGCAAAGUACAUCCAAAUAGAUUGUUUUGAAAAAAUAUUUACUAAAAUUAGUAAAUAUUCUUACAAAUUAAUUAUUAUUGUAAUUAUAUUUUUAUUUUUAUAUUAAUAUAAUUGUUAAAAAUCCUAAUUAUUAUUAUUCAUUUACAAGGUAUGCUAGAAAUUAAAUGGAGGUUAAUAAACCAGUGAAUAAGGUUUUGGAGAGCGCAAUGGCGGUAAGCAUGCUUAACUGAAAGACUUAAAAGUCGAACAGAUACGUAAGUAGGGCAUAGUGACCCCUCGCUAUAUUAUGGAAUAGACGGGGAUCAAUUGAUAAAAGUUACGCUAGGGAUAGAACUGUUGUCCCUUUGCAAUGAAAAUUGCAAUAAUUUAACUGGGUGAAUUGCAAAAAU
This is a ribosomal RNA of Scleroderma citrinum Foug A, 2712 nucleotides long. It matches the Rfam family "Bacterial large subunit ribosomal RNA", at positions 1 to 2527 of the family's 2925-position model. NCBI's taxonomy places the organism in Eukaryota, Fungi, Basidiomycota, Agaricomycetes, Boletales, Sclerodermataceae. The record is from Rfam.